This 77-nucleotide transfer RNA is filed under the name Gammaproteobacteria bacterium. Its description in RNAcentral is "tRNA-Pro". It matches the Rfam family "tRNA". From Rfam's summary of the family: Transfer RNA (tRNA) molecules are approximately 80 nucleotides in length. Their secondary structure includes four short double-helical elements and three loops (D, anti-codon, and T loops). RNAcentral also lists the same sequence under 1 other name. Lineage: Bacteria; Pseudomonadati; Pseudomonadota; Gammaproteobacteria. The record is from RNAcentral.
CGGAAUGUAGCGCAGCUUGGUAGCGCGUGCGCCUGGGGGGCGUGAGGUCGCAGGUUCGAAUCCUGUCAUUCCGACCA